This 465-nucleotide ribosomal RNA is filed under the name uncultured bacterium. RNAcentral describes it as "partial 16S ribosomal RNA". It matches the Rfam family "Bacterial small subunit ribosomal RNA", at positions 28 to 507 of the family's 1533-position model. The record is from RNAcentral.
GACGAACGCUGGCGGCGUGCUUAACACAUGCAAGUCGAACGGAAAGGCCCCUUUGGGGGUACUCGAGUGGCGAACGGGUGAGUAACACGUGAGUAACCUGCCCUUGACUUCGGGAUAACUUCAGGAAACUGGGGCUAAUACCGGAUAGGAAUCCUUGCUGCAUGGUGGGGGUUGGAAAGCUUCGGCGGUUUUGGAUGGACUCGCGGCUUAUCAGCUUGUUGGUGGGGUAGUGGCUUACCAAGGCUUUGACGGGUAGCCGGCCUGAGAGGGCGACCGGCCACAUUGGGACUGAGAGACGGCCCAGACUCCUACGGGAGGCAGCAGGGGGGAAUAUUGCACAAUGGGCGGAAGCCUGAUGCAGCAACGCCGCGUGCGGGAUGACGGCCUUCGGGUUGUAAACCGCUUUCAGCAGGGGCGAAGCUUGUGGUGACGGUACCUGCAGAAGAAGCACCGGCUAACUACGUG